This 905-nucleotide ribosomal RNA is filed under the name Escherichia sp. RNAcentral describes it as "partial 23S ribosomal RNA". It matches the Rfam family "Bacterial large subunit ribosomal RNA", at positions 2016 to 2925 of the family's 2925-position model. The record is from RNAcentral. Lineage: Bacteria; Pseudomonadati; Pseudomonadota; Gammaproteobacteria; Enterobacterales; Enterobacteriaceae.
CUGUCUCAACCGUGAGCUCAGUGAAAUUGUAGUAUCGGUGAAGAUGCCGAUUACCCGCGAUGGGACGAAAAGACCCCGUGAACCUUUACUAUAGCUUAACAUUGAAUUUGGGUAAUUGAUGUGUAGGAUAGGCCGGAGGCUUCGAAGCAGGUACGCCAGUAUUUGUGGAGCCGCUGUUGAAAUACGGCCCUUUGAUUAUUUGAGUUCUAACCCGUUGAUGCGGGGACACUGUUUGGUGGGUAGUUUGACUGGGGUGGUCGCCUCCAAAAGUGUAACGGAGGCUUCUAAAGGUGCCCUCACGACGAUUGGUAACCGUCGGCAGAGUGUAAUGGCAUAAGGGCGCUUGACUGGGAGACUUACAAGUCGAUCAGGUAGGAAACUAGAGCAUAGUGAUCCGGUGUUUCUGUAUGGAAAGGACAUCGCUCAAAGGAUAAAAGGUACUCCGGGGAUAACAGGCUGAUACCGCCCAAGAGUUCAUAUCGACGGCGGUGUUUGGCACCUCGAUGUCGGCUCAUCACAUCCUGGGGCUGAAGUAGGUCCCAAGGGUAUGGCUGUUCGCCAUUUAAAGUGGUACGCGAGCUGGGUUUAGAACGUCGUGAGACAGUUCGGUCCCUAUCUGCCGUGGGCGCUGGAGAACUGAGGGGGGCUGCUCCUAGUACGAGAGGACCGGAGUGGACGCAUCACUGGUGUUCGGGUUGUCAUGCCAAUGGCACUGCCCGGUAGCUAAAUGCGGAAGAGAUAAGUGCUGAAAGCAUCUAAGCACGAAACUUGCCCCGAGAUGAGUUCUCCCUGAGACUUAGAGUCUCCUGAAGGAACGUUGAAGACGACGACGUUGAUAGGCCGGGUGUGUAAGCGCAGCGAUGCGUUGAGCUAACCGGUACUAAUGAACCGUGAGGCUUAACCUU